RNAcentral lists this ribosomal RNA (254 nucleotides) under uncultured bacterium. RNAcentral's name for it is "partial 16S ribosomal RNA". It matches the Rfam family "Bacterial small subunit ribosomal RNA", at positions 524 to 776 of the family's 1533-position model. The record is from RNAcentral.
GACGGAGGAUGCAAGUGUUAUCCGGAAUUAUUGGGCGUAAAGCGUUUGUAGGUGGAGAAAUAAGUCUAUUGUUAAAUCCAGGAGCUUAACUUCUGUCAAGCGAUAUGAAACUAUUUUUCUUGAGGGUGGUAGGGGUAGAAGGAAUUCCUAGUGUAGCGGUGAAAUGCGUAGAUAUUAGGAAGAACACCAAAGGCGAAGGCAUUCUACUGGGCCAAUCCUGACACUGAGAGACGAAAGCUAGGGGAGCGAAUGGG